This 865-nucleotide ribosomal RNA is filed under the name uncultured bacterium. Its description in RNAcentral is "bacterial SSU rRNA". It matches the Rfam family "Bacterial small subunit ribosomal RNA", at positions 530 to 1407 of the family's 1533-position model. The record is from RNAcentral.
GGAGGCGAGCGUUAUCCGGAUUUACUGGGCGUAAAGCGUGUGCAGGCGGUUUGAUAAGUGGGAUGUGAAAGCUCCUGGCUUAACCGGGAGAGGUCGUUCAAAACUAUCAGGCUAGAGAGUGGUAGAGGGAGAUGGAAUUCCGCGUGUAGUGGUGAAAUGCGUAGAUAUGCGGAGGAACACCAGUGGCGAAAGCGGUCUCCUGGCCCAUUUCUGACGCUCAGACACGAAAGCUAAGGUAGCAAACGGGAUUAGAGACCCCGGUAGUCUUAGCUGUAAACGAUGUGAACUUAGUGUCGGUGGGGUUAAAUCCAUCGGUACUGAAGCUAACGCGAUAAGUUCACCGCCUGGGGACUACGGCCGCAAGGUUAAAACUCAAAGGAAUUGACGGGGCCCCGCACAAGCAGCGGAGCGUGUGGUUUAAUUCGAUGCUACACGAAGAACCUUACCAGGGUUUGACAUGCAAGUGGUAGGAAGCUGAAAAGUGACCGACCCUUCGGGGAGCUUGCACAGGUGCUGCAUGGCUGUCGUCAGCUCGUGUCGUGAGAUGUUCGGUUAAGUCCGCUAACGAGCGCAACCCUCGCUGUGUGUUAUAUGUGUCACACGGGACUGCCGGUCUUAAGCCGGAGGAAGGUGGGGAUGAUGUCAAGUCAGCAUGGCCUUUAUAUCCUGGGCCACACACACGCUACAAUGGCCAGCACAAUAGGUUGCCAAACCGCGAGGUGGAGCCAACCCAUAAAGCUGGUCUCAGUUCAGAUUGCAGGCUGAAGCCCGCCUGCAUGAAGAUGGAGUUGCUAGUAACCGCAGGUCAGCUAUACUGCGGUGAAUACGUUCCCGGGGCUUGUACACACCGCCCGUAAGGGCGAAU